This is a small nucleolar RNA of Colobus angolensis palliatus, 105 nucleotides long. Lineage: Eukaryota; Metazoa; Chordata; Mammalia; Primates; Cercopithecidae. The record is from Ensembl.
GUUGCUCUGCUGUGCCUGUGACCUCGGGGCAAAGAGGAAGUGGCGAUUUCUACACUCAAUGCCCGGGAACCAGUGGGCACUGAGAAUGGUUUAUGGCCUGACAUG